Molecule: ribosomal RNA, 864 nt
Filed under: uncultured crenarchaeote
Lineage: Archaea; Thermoproteati; Thermoproteota
Description: bacterial SSU rRNA
Rfam family: Archaeal small subunit ribosomal RNA
Source: RNAcentral
ACCCCACUGCUAUCGGGAUAGGACUAAGACAUGCUAGUCGAGCGCGUCAGCCAAAACGACGCGCGGCAUACAGCUCAGUAACACGUGGCUAAUCUGCCCUUGGGACGAGAACAACCCCGGGAAACUGGGGCUAACUCUCGAUAGGUGAAGAACACUGGAAUGUGUCUCCGCCCAAAAAGUUCAAGGUUACGCUCUUUGAAUCGCCCAAGGAUGAGGCCGCGACCGAUCAGGUUGUUGGUGAGGUAAUGGCUCACCAAGCCUUUUACCGGUGCGGGCCGUGAGAGCGGGAGCCCGGAGAUGGGCACUGAGACAAGGGCCCAGGCCCUACGGGGCGCAGCAGUCGCGAAAACUUUGCAAUACACGCAAGUGUGACAGGGCUAUCCCGAGUGCCAUCCGCUGAGGAAGGCUUUUACCCAGUCUAGAACGCUGGGGGAAUAAGGAGAGGGCAAGUCUGGUGUCAGCCGCCGCGGUAAUACCAGCUCUCCGAGUGGUGUGGAUGUUUAUUGGGCCUAAAGCAUCCGUAGCUGGCUAAGUUAGUCCCUUGUUAAAUCCACCGAAUUAAUCGUUGGAUUGCGGGGGAUACUGCUUGGCUAGGGGACGAGAGAGGCAGACGGUAUUUUCGGGGUAGGGGUGAAAUCCUAUAAUCCCGGGAAGACCACCAGUGGCGAAGGCUGUCUGCUAGAACGCGCCCGACGGUGAGGGAUGAAAGCUGGGGGAGCGAACCGGAUUAGAUACCCGGGUAGUCCCAGCUGUAAACGAUGCAGGCUAGGUGUUUGGACGGCCACGUGCCGUUCUAGUGCCGCAGGGAAGCUGUUAAGCCUGCCGCCUGGGGAGUACGAUCGCAAGAUUGAAACUUAAAGGAAU